GGUCGCGUAGCUCAGCUGGUAGAGCACUACCUUGACAUGGUAGUGGUCGUUGGUUCAAGUCCAAUCGUGGCCACCA
RNAcentral lists this transfer RNA (76 nucleotides) under Helicobacter sp. MIT 14-3879. Its description in RNAcentral is "tRNA-Val". It matches the Rfam family "tRNA". Rfam says of the family: Transfer RNA (tRNA) molecules are approximately 80 nucleotides in length. Lineage: Bacteria; Pseudomonadati; Campylobacterota; Epsilonproteobacteria; Campylobacterales; Helicobacteraceae. RNAcentral also lists the same sequence under 1 other name. The record is from RNAcentral.